AGUCAACAUGCCCAGGGGACGUGGAUAACCUCGGGAAACUGAGGAUAAACCACGAUAGGCCAUAAUUCCUGGAAUGGUUUAUGACUGAAACCUAUAUGGCCCCUGGAUUGGACUGCGGCCGAUCAGGCUGUUGGUGAGGUAAUGGCCCACCAAACCUAUAACCGGUACGGGCUCUGAGAGGAGAAGCCCGGAGAUGGGCACUGAGACAAGGGCCCAGGCCCUAUGGGGCGCAGCAGGCGCGAAACCUCUGCAAUAGGCGAAAGCCUGACAGGGUUACUCUGAGUGGUUCCCGCUAAGGGGACCUUUUGGCACCUCUAAAAAUGGUGCAGAAUAAGGGGUGGGCAAGCCUGGUGUCAGCCGCCGCGGUAAUACCAGCACCCCGAGUGGUCGGGACGAUUAUUGGGCCUAAAGCAUCCGUAGCCGGUCAUGCAAGUCUUCCGUUAAAUCCACCCGCUCAACGGUUGGGCUGCGGAGGAUACUACGUGGCUAGGAGGCGGGAGAGGCAAGCGGUACUCAGUGGGUAGGGGUAAAAUCCUUUGAUCCAUUGAAGACCACCAGUGGCGAAGGCGGCUUGCCAGAACGCGCUCGACGGUGAGGGAUGAAAGCUGGGGGAGCAAACCGGAUUAGAUACCCGGGUAGUCCCAGCUGUAAACGAUGCAGACUCGGUGAUGGGAUGGCCUCGAGCUAUCCCAGUGCCGCAGGGAAGCCGUUAAGUCUGCCGCCUGGGGAGUACGGUCGCAAGACUGAAACU
RNAcentral lists this ribosomal RNA (751 nucleotides) under uncultured archaeon. RNAcentral's name for it is "bacterial SSU rRNA". It matches the Rfam family "Archaeal small subunit ribosomal RNA", at positions 102 to 856 of the family's 1478-position model. The record is from RNAcentral.